GACGAACGCUGGCGGCGUGCCUAAUACAUGCAAGUCGAGCGAGCUUGCCUAGAUGAUUUUAGUGCUUGCACUAAAUGAAAACUAGAUACAAAGCGAGCGGCGGACGGGUGAGUAACACGUGGGUAACCUGCCCAAGAGACUGGGAUAACACCUGGAAACAGAUGCUAAUACCGGAUAACAACACUAGACGCAUGUCUAGAGUUUGAAAGAUGGUUCUGCUAUCACUCUUGGAUGGACCUGCGGUGCAUUAGCUAGUUGGUAAGGUAACGGCUUACCAAGGCAAUGAUGCAUAGCCGAGUUGAGAGACUGAUCGGCCACAUUGGGACUGAGACACGGCCCAAACUCCUACGGGAGGCAGCAGUAGGGAAUCUUCCACAAUGGACGAAAGUCUGAUGGAGCAACGCCGCGUGAACGAUGAAGGUCUUCGGAUUGUAAAGUUCUUUUAUUAAGGACGAAAGAAGUGACGGUACUUAAUGAAUAAGCUCCGGC
This 489-nucleotide ribosomal RNA is filed under the name uncultured bacterium. RNAcentral's name for it is "bacterial SSU rRNA". It matches the Rfam family "Bacterial small subunit ribosomal RNA", at positions 28 to 497 of the family's 1533-position model. The record is from RNAcentral.